AGAGUUUGAUCCUGGCUCAGGACGAACGCUGGCGGCGUGCUUAACACAUGCAAGUCGAGCGGGGAACUUCGGUUCCCAGCGGCGGACGGGUGAGUAACACGUGGGUAACCUGCCUUACAGUGGGGAAUAGCCUUCCGAAAGGAAGAUUAAUACCGCAUAAUACUCAGAGACCACAUGAUCUUUGAGCCAAAGGAAUUUAUUUCGCUGUAAGAUGGACCCGCGGCGCAUUAGCUUGUUGGUGAGGUAACGGCUCACCAAGGCUUCGAUGCGUAGCCGACCUGAGAGGGUGAUCGGCCACAUUGGAACUGAGACACGGUCCAGACUCCUACGGGAGGCAGCAGUGGGGAAUAUUGCACAAUGGAGGAAACUCUGAUGCAGCAACGCCGCGUGAGUGAUGAAGGCCUUCGGAUCGUAAAACUCUGUCUUAUGGGACGAUAAUGACGGUACCAUAGGAGGAAGCCACGGCUAACUACGUGCCAGCCGCCGCGGUAAUAC
Molecule: ribosomal RNA, 495 nt
Filed under: uncultured bacterium
Lineage: Bacteria
Description: bacterial SSU rRNA
Rfam family: Bacterial small subunit ribosomal RNA
Source: RNAcentral